CUUCGAGGCGAGGUGAAAUUCCUCACCGGUAGUAAUGGCGCAAGCCUGAGCCUACAACGGAUAUUCUCAUAUCCCUGAUUUGGUGCAAUUCCAAAGCCGACGGUAAAGUCCGGAUGAAAGAAGAA
Molecule: non-coding RNA, 125 nt
Filed under: pig gut metagenome
Description: FMN riboswitch (RFN element)
Rfam family: FMN riboswitch aptamer (RFN element)
About the family: The RFN element is a highly conserved domain that is found frequently in the 5'-untranslated regions of prokaryotic mRNAs that encode for flavin mononucleotide (FMN) biosynthesis and transport proteins. This element is a metabolite-dependent riboswitch that directly binds FMN in the absence of proteins.
Source: RNAcentral